This 739-nucleotide ribosomal RNA is filed under the name uncultured bacterium. RNAcentral describes it as "bacterial SSU rRNA". It matches the Rfam family "Bacterial small subunit ribosomal RNA", at positions 8 to 793 of the family's 1533-position model. The record is from RNAcentral.
AGGGUUUGAUCAUGGCUCAGAACGAACGCUGGCGGCAGGCCUAACACAUGCAAGUCGAGCGCGCUCUUCGGAGUGAGCGGCGGACGGGUUAGUAACGCGUGGGAACAUACCUUUCGGUAAGGAAUAGCCACUGGAAACGGUGAGUAAUACCUUAUACGCCCUUCGGGGGAAAGAUUUAUCGCCGAGAGAUUGGCCCGCGUUAGAUUAGAUAGUUGGUGGGGUAACGGCCUACCAAGUCUACGAUCUAUAGCUGGUUUUAGAGGAUGAUCAGCAACACUGGGACUGAGACACGGCCCAGACUCCUACGGGAGGCAGCAGUGGGGAAUCUUGGACAAUGGGCGCAAGCCUGAUCCAGCCAUGCCGCGUGAGUGAUGAAGGCCUUAGGGUCGUAAAGCUCUUUCGCCAGAGAUGAUAAUGACAGUAUCUGGUAAAGAAACCCCGGCUAACUCCGUGCCAGCAGCCGCGGUAAUACGGAGGGGGUUAGCGUUGUUCGGAAUUACUGGGCGUAAAGCGUACGUAGGCGGACCAUUAAGUUGGGGGUGAAAUCCCGGGGCUCAACCCCGGAACUGCCUCCAAAACUGCUGGUCUUGAGUUCGAGAGAGGUGAGUGGAAUUCCGAGUGUAGAGGUGAAAUUCGUAGAUAUUCGGAGGAACACCAGUGGCGAAGGCGGCUCACUGGCUCGAUACUGACGCUGAGGUACGAAAGUGUGGGGAGCAAACAGGAUUAGAUACCCUGGUAG